Molecule: long non-coding RNA, 252 nt
Organism: Seriola aureovittata
Lineage: Eukaryota; Metazoa; Chordata; Actinopteri; Carangiformes; Carangidae
Exons: 3
Source: RefSeq, a predicted model, not a curated record
CUGAGCCGCCCACACUGCCUGACAGCCCGGGGCCUGGCACGCUGCCGUACCCGGUGUCUCCUACGUCCAGAGGCAUCCUGUCCGUCUGCGGAGGGACCCUGCGUUCCAACAUGAGACUCUGAUACACAUGCAGCCCAUGUGUGGAGCACAUAAACUCCGCCUCCUGCUGCAGUGCCUCUUGUGACACCCGGGGGGCGCCGGGGAAGCAGACAAUGAUGAUGCUGAUGUUGUCCAAGCUGCCCUGGAGAGGGA